CACCGUCGUGCUAGACCCAGUGCCCCCUGUUUCAGGGGUCAGGGCAGGGUCCACUGGCCUCGUGGACUGCUGGUGAAAUACCACUACUCUCUUUGUUUUUUCACUGAUCCGGUAAGGGGGGGAGGUGAGCCCAAAGAGGCUCUUGCUUCUGGCGCCAAGCGCCGGUCUACAAGCGCACGCAGACGCGAACUGCUCUGAGGAUGCCAGGUGGAGAGUUUGACUGGGAUGGUGCACCUAUGAAACAGUAAUGCAGGUGUCCUAAGGAGGUUUCCCCGUGGAGCGGGAAGGGCAAAAGCUUGCUUGAGCUGGAUUUUUAGUACGAAUACAAACCAUGAAAGCAGGGCCUCACGAUCUUUCUGACCUUUGGGUUUUAAGCAUGAGGUAUCAGAAAAGUUACCACAGGGAUAACUGACUUGUGGCAGUCAGAGACACUAAGCCACCAAGGAAAUGGGAUGUAUAUUUCUGGAACCUGCCUUGGGAACUCCAGGUAGAGAGCUUGACAGAUUGAUAUAUUUUGGGCUAAAGUCCAAAUGUUUUGAUAAGUUGCUUAUUGAUAUUAGGAUUAAUAAAAGGUGUUUAGUU
RNAcentral lists this non-coding RNA (582 nucleotides) under Rattus norvegicus (Norway rat). RNAcentral's name for it is "Eukaryotic large subunit ribosomal RNA". It matches the Rfam family "Eukaryotic large subunit ribosomal RNA", at positions 2411 to 2988 of the family's 3401-position model. Lineage: Eukaryota; Metazoa; Chordata; Mammalia; Rodentia; Muridae. The record is from Rfam by way of RNAcentral.